GUUCCAUGAUGAUUCCCCCAUGCGUGUCAUCUGACCCCCCCAUUUAUCCCCCCCGCCCGCGUUCUGCUGGGCAGGGGGAGAGGAAUCCCAAGGGGAAAGUGAUCAUACCUGAAUAAC
Molecule: small nucleolar RNA, 117 nt
Filed under: Laticauda laticaudata (blue-ringed sea krait)
Lineage: Eukaryota; Metazoa; Chordata; Lepidosauria; Squamata; Elapidae
Description: Small nucleolar RNA SNORD10 (ENSLLTG00000008170.1)
Rfam family: Small nucleolar RNA SNORD10
Source: Rfam by way of RNAcentral